GGAAAGCUACUAUUUUCCGCUUUUAAAAGGUAAAAAGAACUGGUUAACACAACAGGUAUAUAUAUAAUAAGCAUAUUUAAUAAAAAUUUAUAUAAGAAAUUAAAUAAUAAAGUUUUAAUUGAAAUGAUUAAAAUUCCCUGUAUCUUAUGUUCAAGUCUCCUUAUAAAUUUUAAUAUAAUGGAGGUAUUAAUACAAUAUAUUUAAUUAACACGAAAGUAAGGUAAUAAAUGCC
RNAcentral lists this long non-coding RNA (232 nucleotides) under Gossypium barbadense (sea-island cotton). RNAcentral's name for it is "long non-coding RNA (GBAR_LNC021326)". Lineage: Eukaryota; Viridiplantae; Streptophyta; Magnoliopsida; Malvales; Malvaceae. The record is from RNAcentral.